This 486-nucleotide ribosomal RNA is filed under the name uncultured bacterium. RNAcentral describes it as "partial 16S ribosomal RNA". It matches the Rfam family "Bacterial small subunit ribosomal RNA", at positions 30 to 507 of the family's 1533-position model. The record is from RNAcentral.
AUUGAACGCUGGCGGCAUGCCUUACACAUGCAAGUCGAACGGCAGCACGGGUGCUUGCACCUGGUGGCGAGUGGCGAACGGGUGAGUAAUACAUCGGAACAUGUCCUGUAGUGGGGGAUAGCCCGGCGAAAGCCGGAUUAAUACCGCAUACGAUCUACGGAUGAAAGCGGGGGACCUUCGGGCCUCGCGCUAUAGGGUUGGCCGAUGGCUGAUUAGCUAGUGGGUGGGGUAAAGGCCUACCAAGGCGACGAACAGUAGCUGGUCUGAGAGGACGACCAGCCACACUGGGACUGAGACACGGCCCAGACUCCUACGGGAGGCAGCAGUGGGGAAUUUUGGACAAUGGGCGAAAGCCUGAUCCAGCAAUGCCGCGUGUGUGAAGAAGGCCUUCGGGUUGUAAAGCACUUUUGUCCGGAAAGAAAUCCUUGGCCCUAAUACGGUCGGGGGAUGACGGUACCGGAAGAAUAAGCACCGGCUAACUACGUG